This 22-nucleotide non-coding RNA is filed under the name Arabidopsis thaliana (thale cress). Lineage: Eukaryota; Viridiplantae; Streptophyta; Magnoliopsida; Brassicales; Brassicaceae. The record is from RNAcentral.
CAGUUUCGUUUUACCCUGGUUC